Molecule: ribosomal RNA, 1293 nt
Filed under: Nocardia sp.
Lineage: Bacteria; Bacillati; Actinomycetota; Actinomycetes; Mycobacteriales; Nocardiaceae
Description: bacterial SSU rRNA
Rfam family: Bacterial small subunit ribosomal RNA
Source: RNAcentral
GCGAACGGGUGAGUAACACGUGGGUGAUCUGCCUCGUACUUCGGGAUAAGCCUGGGAAACUGGGUCUAAUACCGGAUAUGACCUUCGGUUGCAUGACUGAGGGUGGAAAGAUUUAUCGGUACGAGAUGGGCCCGCGGCCUAUCAGCUUGUUGGUGGGGUAAUGGCCUACCAAGGCGACGACGGGUAGCCGGCCUGAGAGGGCGACCGGCCACACUGGGACUGAGACACGGCCCAGACUCCUACGGGAGGCAGCAGUGGGGAAUAUUGCACAAUGGGCGGAAGCCUGAUGCAGCGACGCCGCGUGAGGGAUGACGGCCUUCGGGUUGUAAACCUCUUUCGACAGGGACGAAGCGCAAGUGACGGUACCUGUAGAAGAAGCACCGGCCAACUACGUGCCAGCAGCCGCGGUAAUACGUAGGGUGCGAGCGUUGUCCGGAAUUACUGGGCGUAAAGAGCUUGUAGGCGGUUCGUCGCGUCGUUCGUGAAAACUUGGGGCUCAACCCCAAGCUUGCGGGCGAUACGGGCGGACUAGAGUACUUCAGGGGAGACUGGAAUUCCUGGUGUAGCGGUGAAAUGCGCAGAUAUCAGGAGGAACACCGCUGGCGAAGACGGGUCUCUGGGAAGUAACUGACGCUGAGAAGAGAAAGAGUGGGUAGAGCACACAGGAUUAGAUACCCUGGUAGUAGCACGCCGUAAACGCUGGGUACUAGGUGUGGGUUUCCUUCCACGGGAUCCGUGCCGUAGAUAACGCACUAAGUACACCGCCUGGGGAGUACGCCCGCAAGGCUAAAACUCAAAGGAAUUGACGGGGGCCCGCACAAGCGGCGGAGCAUGUGGAUUAAUUCUAUGCAACGCGAAGAGCCUUACCUGGGUUUGACAUACACCGGAAACCUGCAGAGAUGUAGACCCCCUUGUGGUCGGUGUACAGGUGGUGCAUGGCUGUCGUCAGAUCGUGUCUUGAGAUGUUGGGUUAAGUCUCGCAACGAGCGCAACCCUUAUCUUAUGUUUCCAGCGCGUAAUGUCGGGGACUCGUGAGAGACUGCCGGGGUCAACUCGGAGGAAGGUGGGGAGGACGUCAAGUCAUCACACCCCUUAUGUCCAGGGCUUCACACAUGCUACAAUGGCCGGUACAGAGGGCUGCGAUACCGUGAGGUGGAGAGAAUCCCUUAAAAACGGUCUCAGUUUGGAUCGGGGUCUGUAACUCGAGCCCCGUGAAGUUGGAGUCGCUAUUAAUCGCAGAUCACCAACGCUGCGGUGAAUACGUUUCCCGGGCCUUGUACACACCGCCCGUCA